This 376-nucleotide unclassified non-coding RNA is filed under the name soil metagenome. RNAcentral describes it as "partial contains 5.8S ribosomal RNA, internal transcribed spacer 2, and large subunit ribosomal RNA". The stretch from base 1 to 120 matches the Rfam family "5.8S ribosomal RNA", at positions 35 to 154 of the family's 154-position model. The record is from RNAcentral.
GAUGAAGAACGUAGCGAAAUGCGAUAAGUAAUGUGAAUUGCAGAAUUCAGUGAAUCAUCGAAACUUUGAACGCAUCUUGCGCUCCUUGGUAUUCUGAGGAGCAUGCCUGUUUGAGUGUCAUUAAAUUCUCAACUACACUGACUUUGAAUUGGUGUGGCUUGGAUUUGGGGGGAAAAUUGUUGUGGGCUUUUUGUAUAGUCUGCUCCCCUGAAAUUGAUUAGCGGUACCUUUGUGGAACUGUCUACAGGUGUGAUAAUUAUCUACAUCUUAGACAUCUGCUGGAAUGCUGCUUUCUAAACCUUACUUGUAUUGACAAUCUUGACCUCAAAUCAGGUAGGACUACCCGCUGAACUUAAGCAUAUCAAUAAGCGGAGGA